AUAACAUCAUGAUCAUCAUGAUCAUCAUGAUCAUCAUGAUCAUCAUCAUGAUCAUCAUGAUUAUCAUCAUCAUCAUCAUCAUCAUCAUGAUCAUGA
This 96-nucleotide small RNA is filed under the name Mytilus galloprovincialis (Mediterranean mussel). The record is from RNAcentral. Lineage: Eukaryota; Metazoa; Mollusca; Bivalvia; Mytilida; Mytilidae.